GGCGACCGCAGGAGGAGCGGGGAGGAUCGCUGCCACUGAGGUCAGCAGCCGUCCGAGUCGGCAUGCUGCGUCUCCUGGUGGUGACGGCUCUGGUCGGGCUGGCCUGCGGGCAGUCGGCGUCGGGACCCGUAGACGCGGACGGCUCUGCGCCCACAGACGGCCUGCCCUCCACUGGAACAGACCAAGUGCAGCCUACGCUGAACACACCCAGACCGGGUGACUUUGCCGCAACCGUGCGGCUGUCCCCGAAGGUGACGCCUUCUCCCAUUCGGCCAACAAAAAUCAAGAGCCUCCUCAUCAGUGCACCUCAAAAGGUCGUCGAUGCGAUCCAGAAUUUGAAGAAGAAGCCACUGCCCACGACUCCACCGCCCACGACUCCACCGCCCACGACUCCACCGCCCACGACUCCACCGCCCACGACGCCA
Long non-coding RNA from Pollicipes pollicipes, 425 nucleotides. RefSeq lists it as uncharacterized. The transcript is spliced from 3 exons. Lineage: Eukaryota; Metazoa; Arthropoda; Thecostraca; Pollicipedomorpha; Pollicipedidae. The record is from RefSeq and is a predicted model, not a curated record.